UCCCAGACUCCUACGGGAGGCAGCAGUGGGGAAUAUUGCACAAUGGGGGGAACCCUGAUGCAGCGACGCCGCGUGAGUGAAGAAGUAUUUCGGUAUGUAAAGCUCUAUCAGCAGGGAAGAUAAUGACGGUACCUGACUAAGAAGCCCCGGCUAACUACGUGCCAGCAGCCGCGGUAAUACGUAGGGGGCAAGCGUUAUCCGGAUUUACUGGGUGUAGAGGGUGCGUAGGUGGCAGGGCAAGUCAGAUGUGAAAGCCCUGGGCCCAACCCCGGUACUGCAUUUGAAACUGUCCGGCUGGAGUGCAGGAGAGGUAAGCGGAAUUCCUAGUGUAGCGGUGAAAUGCGUAGAUAUUAGGAGGAACACCAGUGGCGAAGGCGGCUUACUGGACUGUAACCGACACUGAGGCACGAAAGCGUGGGGAGCAAACAGGAUUAGAUACCCUCGUA
Molecule: ribosomal RNA, 446 nt
Filed under: uncultured bacterium
Lineage: Bacteria
Description: bacterial SSU rRNA
Rfam family: Bacterial small subunit ribosomal RNA
Source: RNAcentral